AUUCCGUAGGUGAACCUGCGGAAGGAUCAUUACUGAGUGAGGGCCCCUCGGGGUCCAACCUCCCACCCGUGUUUAACGAACCUUGUUGCUUCGGCGGGCCCGCCUCACGGCCGCCGGGGGGCAUCUGCCCCCGGGCCCGCGCCCGCCGAAGCCACCUGUGAACGCUGUCUGAAGUAUGCAGUCUGAGACAAUUAUUAAAUUAAUUAAAACUUUCAACAACGGAUCUCUUGGUUCCG
RNAcentral lists this unclassified non-coding RNA (236 nucleotides) under plant metagenome. Its description in RNAcentral is "partial contains small subunit ribosomal RNA, internal transcribed spacer 1, and 5.8S ribosomal RNA". The record is from RNAcentral.